AUGGCGGCGAGGAGCGAGAACGAGUCGGACGGCGACGUGGGCACCAACCCCGCCGAGGGGGGCUCGUCCCUGUCCCUGCCGCCUCUAGCUGCCGGUCCAGCCGUGUGCGUCCUCCGGUCCGCCGGGGACUUCGCCGGCGGCGCCUUCGUCGGAUCUAUCUUUGGAUAUGGACAAGGUUUGCUAUCUAAGAAGGGUUUGAAGGGCUCACUCGGCAAUGCAGGGUCUUCUGCCAAAAGUUUUGCAGUUCUUUCUGGCGUCCAGAGUUUGGUUUUGUGCUUGUUGAGGAAGCUGCGUGGGAAAGAUGAUAUCAUCAAUUCCGGCAUUGCUGGUUGUUGCACAGGUCUUGCUUUGAGUUUUCCAGGUACACCACAAGCGCUGCUUCAGAACUGCGCCACCUUCGCAGCAUUCUCAUGCAUCAUGGAGGGGCUCAACAAGCAGCAGACCGCGAUGGCGCACACCCUCACUGGGAACGCCUUGACCUUUGCACACGACAAUGGCGCGGGCGUCCUCCCCCCCUUCACUCUCCCCCCAAUCCUCGAUGCUUCCGAUGCUUUCGCCUCAUGCUGCCAGGCCUUGGUCGCCAAGCCUAAGAAGCACUAG
RNAcentral lists this ribosomal RNA (600 nucleotides) under Triticum aestivum (bread wheat). RNAcentral's name for it is "partial small subunit ribosomal RNA". The record is from RNAcentral. Lineage: Eukaryota; Viridiplantae; Streptophyta; Magnoliopsida; Poales; Poaceae.